GUACACUCCUGCGGGAGGCAGCAGUGGGGAAUAUUGCACAAUGGGCGCAAGCCUGAUGCAGCCAUGCCGCGUGUAUGAAGAAGGCCUUCGGGUUGUAAAGUACUUUCAGCGGGGAGGAAGGCGAUAAGGUUAAUAACCUUGUUGAUUGACGUUACCCGCAGAAGAAGCACCGGCUAACUCCGUGCCAGCAGCCGCGGUAAUACGGAGGGUGCAAGCGUUAAUCGGAAUUACUGGGCGUAAAGCGUACGCAGGCGGUCUGUCAAGUCGGAUGUGAAAUCCCCGGGCUCAACCUGGGAACUGCAUUCGAAACUGGCAGGCUAGAGUCUUGUAGAGGGGGGUAGAAUUCCAGGUGUAGCGGUGAAAUGCGUAGAGAUCUGGAGGAAUACCGGUGGCGAAGGCGGCCCCCUGGACAAAGACUGACGCUCAGGUGCGAAAGCGUGGGGAGCAAACAGGAUUAGAAACCCUUGUAGUCC
RNAcentral lists this ribosomal RNA (473 nucleotides) under uncultured organism. Its description in RNAcentral is "partial 16S ribosomal RNA". It matches the Rfam family "Bacterial small subunit ribosomal RNA", at positions 331 to 796 of the family's 1533-position model. The record is from RNAcentral.